RNAcentral lists this non-coding RNA (126 nucleotides) under Streptomyces sp. GMY02. RNAcentral's name for it is "Streptomyces RNA 5676". It matches the Rfam family "Streptomyces RNA 5676". From Rfam's summary of the family: Identified by deep sequencing of transcriptome at the end of exponential growth phase. Appears longer on northern blot than sequencing transcript. Lineage: Bacteria; Bacillati; Actinomycetota; Actinomycetes; Kitasatosporales; Streptomycetaceae. The record is from Rfam by way of RNAcentral. RNAcentral also lists the same sequence under 1 other name.
AGAUGAGAGAUACACCCGCCCACAGGGGACUGUGGGCGAUACCGGGCCGUCGCCUCCCCAGCUUCGACCUGGCCGUGCCUCGCGCACACCGGAGCCCCCGGGUUCCGGAUCUCCUCACCGAUCGGA